GACGAACGCUGGCGGCGUGCCUAAUACAUGCAAGUAGAACGCUGAAGGAGGAGCUUGCUUCUCUGGAUGAGUUGCGAACGGGUGAGUAACGCGUAGGUAACCUGCCUGGUAGCGGGGGAUAACUAUUGGAAACGACAGCUAAUACCGCAUAAGAGUAGAUGUUGCAUGACAUUUGCUUAAAAGGUGCAAAUGCAUCACUACCAGAUGGACCUGCGUUGUAUUAGCUAGUUGGUGGGGUAACGGCUCACCAAGGCGACGAUACAUAGCCGACCUGAGAGGGUGAUCGGCCACACUGGGACUGAGACACGGCCCAGACUCCUACGGGAGGCAGCAGUAGGGAAUCUUCGGCAAUGGACGGAAGUCUGACCGAGCAACGCCGCGUGAGUGAAGAAGGUUUUCGGAUCGUAAAGCUCUGUUGUAAGAGAAGAACGAGUGUGAGAGUGGAAAGUUCACACUGUGACGGUAUCUUACCAGAAAGGGACGGCUAACUACGUGCCAGCAGCCGCGGUAAUACGUAGGUCCCGAGCGUUGUCCGGAUUUAUUGGGCGUAAAGCGAGCGCAGGCGGUUAGAUAAGUCUGAAGUUAAAGGCUGUGGCUUAACCAUAGUAGGCUUUGGAAACUGUUUAACUUGAGUGCAAGAGGGGAGAGUGGAAUUCCAUGUGUAGCGGUGAAAUGCGUAGAUAUAUGGAGGAACACCGGUGGCGAAAGCGGCUCUCUGGCUUGUAACUGACGCUGAGGCUCGAAAGCGUGGGGAGCAAACAGG
This 763-nucleotide ribosomal RNA is filed under the name uncultured Streptococcus sp. RNAcentral's name for it is "bacterial SSU rRNA". It matches the Rfam family "Bacterial small subunit ribosomal RNA", at positions 28 to 776 of the family's 1533-position model. Lineage: Bacteria; Bacillati; Bacillota; Bacilli; Lactobacillales; Streptococcaceae. The record is from RNAcentral.